AGCGAACGCUGGCGGCAGGCUUAACACAUGCAAGUCGAGCGGGCCCUUCGGGGUCAGCGGCAGACGGGUGAGUAACGCGUGGGAACGUGCCCUUCGGUUCGGAAUAACUCAGGGAAACUUGAGCUAAUACCGGAUACGCCCUUAUGGGGAAUGGUUUACUGCCGAAGGAUCGGCCCGCGUCUGAUUAGCUAGUUGGUGAGGUUAUGGCUCACCAAGGCGACGAUCAGUAGCUGGUCUGAGAGGAUGGUCAGCCACACUGGGACUGAGACACGGCCCAGACUCCUACGGGAGGCAGCAGUGGGGAAUAUUGGACAAUGGGGGCAACCCUGAUCCAGCCAUGCCGCGUGAGUGAUGACGGCCUUAGGGUUGUAAAGCUCUUUUCUCCGGGACGAUAAUGACGGUACCGGAGGAAUAAGCCCCGGCUAACUUCGUG
RNAcentral lists this ribosomal RNA (433 nucleotides) under uncultured bacterium. RNAcentral's name for it is "partial 16S ribosomal RNA". It matches the Rfam family "Bacterial small subunit ribosomal RNA", at positions 29 to 507 of the family's 1533-position model. The record is from RNAcentral.